RNAcentral lists this ribosomal RNA (494 nucleotides) under uncultured bacterium. RNAcentral describes it as "partial 16S ribosomal RNA". It matches the Rfam family "Bacterial small subunit ribosomal RNA", at positions 28 to 507 of the family's 1533-position model. The record is from RNAcentral.
GACGAACGCUGGCGGCGCGCUUAACACAUGCAAGUCGAACGGAAAGGCCUGCUUUCCCUUGUGGUUUGCGGGUACUCGAGUGGCGAACGGGUGAGUAACACGUGAGUGAUCUGCCCCCAACUUGGGUAUAAGCCUGGGAAACUGGGUCUAAUUCCCGAUAGGACUGCAGGGUGGUGCCUGUGGUGGAACACGAUUUUCUAGUGGUUGGGGAUGAGCUCGCGGCCUAUCAGCUUGUUGGUGGGGUAAUGGCCUACCAAGGCGGCGACGGGGAGCCGGCCUGAGAGGGUGGACGGCCACAUUGGGACUGCGAUACGGCCCAGACUCCUACGGGGGGCAGCAGUGGGGAAUAUUGCACAAUGGGCGGAAGCCUGAUGCAGCGACGCCGCGGGGGGGAUGACGGGCUUCGGAUUGUAAACUCCUUUCGACCGAGAGGAAGCCACCUGGUUGGAAGGGUGGUGACGGUAGUGGUAGAAGAAGCACCGGCUAACUACGUG